GCUGGGUGUGGUGGCACAUGUCUGUAAUCCCAGCAGCUCAGGAGGCUGAGGCAGGAGGAUCCAGAGUUCAAAGCCAGCCUCAGCAACAGCAAGUCACUAAACAACUCAGUGAGACCCUGUCUCUA
Molecule: small RNA, 125 nt
Filed under: Marmota monax (woodchuck)
Lineage: Eukaryota; Metazoa; Chordata; Mammalia; Rodentia; Sciuridae
Source: RNAcentral